Molecule: ribosomal RNA, 908 nt
Filed under: Penicillium corylophilum
Lineage: Eukaryota; Fungi; Ascomycota; Eurotiomycetes; Eurotiales; Aspergillaceae
Description: LSU rRNA
Rfam family: Eukaryotic large subunit ribosomal RNA
Source: RNAcentral
GCAUAUCAAUAAGCGGAGGAAAAGAACCAACAGGGAUUGCCUCAGUAACGGCGAGUGAAGCGGCAAGAGCUCAAAUUUGAAAGCUGGCCCCCUCGGGGUCCGCAUUGUAAUUUGCAGAGGAUGCUUCGGGAGUGGCCCCCAUCUAAGUGCUCUGGAACGGGCCGUCAUAGAGGGUGAGAAUCCCGUAUGGGAUGGGGUGUCCGCGACCAUGUGAAGCUCCUUCGACGAGUCGAGUUGUUUGGGAAUGCAGCUCUAAAUGGGUGGUAAAUUUCAUCUAAAGCUAAAUAUUGGCCGGAGACCGAUAGCGCACAAGUAGAGUGAUCGAAAGAUGAAAAGCACUUUGAAAAGAGAGUUAAAAAGCACGUGAAAUUGUUGAAAGGGAAGCGCUUGCGACCAGACUCGCCUACGGGGUUCAGCCGGUAUUCGUACCGGUGUACUUCCCCGUGGGCGGGCCAGCGUCGGUUUGGGCGGCCGGUCAAAGGCCCUCGGAAUGUAACGCCUCUCGGGGCGUCUUAUAGCCGAGGGUGCCAUGCGGCCAGCCCGGACCGAGGAACGCGCUUCGGCACGGACGCUGGCAUAAUGGUCGUAAGCGACCCGUCUUGAAACACGGACCAAGGAGUCUAACAUCUACGCGAGUGUUCGGGUGUCAAACCCGUGCGCGCAGUGAAAGCGAACGGAGGUGGGAACCCUCACGGGUGCACCAUCGACCGAUCCUGAUGUCUUCGGAUGGAUUUGAGUAAGAGCGUAGCUGUUGGGACCCGAAAGAUGGUGAACUAUGCCUGAAUAGGGCGAAGCCAGAGGAAACUCUGGUGGAGGCUCGCAGCGGUUCUGACGUGCAAAUCGAUCGUCAAAUUUGGGUAUAGGGGCGAAAGACUAAUCGAACCAUCUAGUAGCUGGUUCCUGCCGAA